AUACGGAGGGUGCAAGCGUUAUUCGGAAUCACUGGGCGUAAAGGACGCGUAGGCGGGUUGGCAAGUCAGAUGUGAAAUCCUACAGCUUAACUGUAGAACUGCAUUUGAAACUGCUAACCUAGAGUAUGGGAGGGGGAGAUGGAAUUAGUGGUGUAGGGGUAAAAUCUGUAGAUAUCACUAGGAAUACCGAAAGCGAAGGCGAUCUCCUGGAACAUAACUGACGCUAAGGCGUGAAAGCGUGGGGAGCAAACAGAAUUAGAAACCCGAGUAGUCC
This 274-nucleotide ribosomal RNA is filed under the name uncultured bacterium. RNAcentral describes it as "partial 16S ribosomal RNA". It matches the Rfam family "Bacterial small subunit ribosomal RNA", at positions 523 to 796 of the family's 1533-position model. The record is from RNAcentral.